This is an unclassified non-coding RNA of Pongo abelii (Sumatran orangutan), 117 nucleotides long. It matches the Rfam family "Metazoan signal recognition particle RNA". Rfam says of the family: The signal recognition particle (SRP) is a universally conserved ribonucleoprotein. It is involved in the co-translational targeting of proteins to membranes. The record is from Ensembl. NCBI's taxonomy places the organism in Eukaryota, Metazoa, Chordata, Mammalia, Primates, Hominidae.
GCCAGGUGUGGUGGCUCACGCCUGUAGUCCCAGCACUUUGGGAGGCUGAGACAGGAGGAUUGCUUGAGCCCAGGAGUUCAAGACCAGCUUGGGCAACAUGGCAAGACCCUGUCUCUA